UACAGAGGUCUCAAGCGUUGUUCGGAUUCAUUGGGCGUAAAGGGUGCGUAGGUGGCGCUGUAAGUCAGGUGUGAAAUUUCGGAGCUUAACUCCGAAACUGCAUUUGAUACUGCGGUGCUUGAGGACUGGAGAGGAGACUGGAAUUUACGGUGUAGCAGUGAAAUGCGUAGAGAUCGGCAGGAACACCCAGGGGGAAACCAGUGGACUGGGCAUGAGCUGACGCUCAGGUGCGAAAGCGUGGGGAGCGAACCGG
Molecule: ribosomal RNA, 253 nt
Filed under: uncultured bacterium
Lineage: Bacteria
Description: partial 16S ribosomal RNA
Rfam family: Bacterial small subunit ribosomal RNA
Source: RNAcentral